CCCUAUGGGGUGCAGCAGGCGCGAAACCUUUACAAUGCACGCAAGUGUGAUAAGGGGAUCCUAAGUGCUUAUACAUUGUAUAGGCUUUUGUUAAGAGUAAAUAUCUUAGCGAAUAAGUGGUGGGUAAGACUGGUGCCAGCCGCCGCGGUAACACCAGCGCCACGAGUGGCAACCACGUUUAUUGGGCCUAAAGCGUCCGUAGCCGGUUUGGUAAAUCUUUUGUGAAAUCGACAAGCUUAACUUGUCGGCGUGCUUGAGACACUACCAAACUCGAGACCGGGAGGAGUCAGAGGUAUUCCAGGGGGAGCGGUAAAAUGUGAUAAUCCUUGGAGGACCAUCUAUGGCGAAGGCAUCUGACCAGAACGGAUCUGACGGUGAGGGACGAAGGCUAGGGGAGCGAUCCGGAUUAGAUACCCGAGUAGUCCUAGCAGUAAACGCUGUGAGCAAGAUGUUACGCAUCUCUUGAGGAUGUGUAGUGUCGAAAUGAAGAUGUUAAGCUCACCGCCUGGGAAGUACGGUCGCAAGACUGAAACUUUAAGGAAUUGGCGGGGGCGCACCACCAGGGGUGCGGCGUGCGGUUUAAUCUAACGAUACACAGAGAACCUUACUAGAAGCGACGGCAGGAAGAAGGUCAGCCUGAAGGGCUUACCCGACGAGCCGAGAAGAAGUGCAUGGCCA
Molecule: ribosomal RNA, 678 nt
Filed under: uncultured archaeon
Lineage: Archaea
Description: bacterial SSU rRNA
Rfam family: Archaeal small subunit ribosomal RNA
Source: RNAcentral